This 200-nucleotide unclassified non-coding RNA is filed under the name uncultured Tremellales. RNAcentral's name for it is "sequence contains ITS2". Lineage: Eukaryota; Fungi; Basidiomycota; Tremellomycetes; Tremellales. The record is from RNAcentral.
AAUCUCAAUCCCAUCUGGUUUAUGACCAGGUGUUGGACUUGGACAUGGGUGUCUGCCGGUCAAACGGCUCACCUCAAAUGACUUAGUGGGAUCGCUUGCAUCCGUGACAGACGUAAUAAGUUUCGUCUUGUCCCUUGCUCUGCGUACGCCUGCUCAGAACCAACCUGUCUUGCCUUCAUUGGCCUGGCAUACUUUUUUGA